This 445-nucleotide ribosomal RNA is filed under the name uncultured bacterium. Its description in RNAcentral is "partial 16S ribosomal RNA". It matches the Rfam family "Bacterial small subunit ribosomal RNA", at positions 338 to 795 of the family's 1533-position model. The record is from RNAcentral.
CCUACGGGAGGCAGCAGUAGGGAAUUUUCGGCAAUGGGGGGAACCCUGACCGAGCAACGCCGCGUGUACGAAGAAGUUAUUCGUAAUGUAAAGUUCUUUUAACAGGGAAGAAAGAGCAAUUUGACGGUACCUGAAGAAUAGGCUCCGGCAAACUACGUGCCAGCAGCUGCGGUAUAGGUAGGUGGCGAGGUUUAUCCGGAAUUAUUGGGCGUAAAGGGUGCUUAGGUGGCAUAUUAAGUCUUUGGUAAAAAUGCUGGGCUAAACCCAGUAGGGCAAAAGAUACUGGAAGGCUAGAGUAUGAUAGAGGCAAGUGGAACUACAUGUGUAGCGGUAAAAUGCGUAAAUAUAUGUAAGAACACCAGUGGCGAAGGCGGCUUGCUGGGUGGAUACUGACAUUGAGGCACGAAAGCGUGGGGAGCAAACAGGAUUAGAUACCCGGGUAGUC